Small nuclear RNA from Chlorocebus sabaeus (green monkey), 101 nucleotides. The record is from Ensembl. NCBI's taxonomy places the organism in Eukaryota, Metazoa, Chordata, Mammalia, Primates, Cercopithecidae.
GUGCUUCAGCAGCACAUACACUAAAAUUGGAAUGAUACAGAGAUUAGCAUGGCCCCCUGCACAAGAAUGACACAAACAUUUGUGAAGCCUUUCAUAUUUAA